Molecule: long non-coding RNA, 929 nt
Organism: Eupeodes corollae
Lineage: Eukaryota; Metazoa; Arthropoda; Insecta; Diptera; Syrphidae
Exons: 5
Source: RefSeq, a predicted model, not a curated record
AACCCCAAUUUUUAAACUCACAAAAAAGCACGCGCUUUUCCUUUAGCGUUCAUCUUCUUCAUUUGGCGUCUGCAUUAACCAGCUAUAAAACUAAUUGUGAGGAAACAAAGCAAUAUUCCACUUUUUCGGCAUUUUACCAGAGCGUUUACCAGCAUUAACAAGGUUUCUACAUACAUAAUCUACAUCACCAAGACCAGACAUAAUUACAAAUUCCAAGAAAAUUACAAAAUUUUAGCAAUCACCGGCUAUACAACUAAAAAACUAAACUACCAGCGACUACAAUUAUCGGCUAGACAUCUGACAACCUACCAGCUACUACAAUCAUCAGCCAGGCCAAACUAAAUUAUAUUUAAGCAGAUAAAAACACUUAUAAGCAAAAUUUCUUGCUGUACUCAAACACCCAACAAAAUUGAUAAAAAAUGGAAGAAUCAGAACCACGUUCACCGUCACCUCUGGAGAAAAAUAAGAUAAGUGAAUUAAAAGAAACAGAAACACCGGUCAACAUUAUCCCAUCUAGUCAAGUACUUCUAUCGACUACAAAUUUUGUUUUGGUUCGAGAUGACGGUAAAUUAUUACAAAAGGACUUGUCAUCGCCGAAUGACAACUCAAUAAGUAUUCAAGAGCAAUCAGAUGAUCAAUCAACGGUAGGUGGGGAAAAUAUUUCAUUCUCAGAAUUGAUAAGUUCUUAUUGCUCCAAUGAUGAUGACAAUGAGAUGGAAGCUCUCAUAACUCUUUUGAAUGAAUGGAAAAUUCCAAAAUUUGUUCACCAAUUUUUUAUUGAUGAAAAUCUUUUUGUACCGGUGUUGAAAGUGGCAAACGAAUUUUUCAUGGAGAGGUUUUUACAAACUUUAAAUAUAACAACCGCAAGUAGGAUUGUUUUCUUUGAUAAGUGGUAUCAAUGGAAAACCGAACGGUAUACAUCUUUAUCU